Molecule: long non-coding RNA, 389 nt
Organism: Alexandromys fortis (reed vole)
Lineage: Eukaryota; Metazoa; Chordata; Mammalia; Rodentia; Cricetidae
Exons: 3
Source: RefSeq, a predicted model, not a curated record
GCUUAGAGCUUUUGCAAGACGAAGCCUGGUGGGAGGGAGUUAAGGGAUGUGCCUUUAAGGGGGACGAUGGGACCCCAGUCCCGUCUUGUGUUUUUCUCUGUUUCCCAGUGGCCGUGAGGCAGGUGCUACAAGUGUAGCAGCUGACACCGAGACUCCGUCUGUGAUUGGAGCUGCACUCUUCAGCCUCUGGGCCCAGGAAGGAAGCUGUAUCUCACUGCUGCUCUUGCCCGAAUCACGUACGGUACAGGGGUGCGCGAACUGUACCUAGGGUGUAACACAAAAUUGGGUGUUACAAGAGAGUUCUGCUCUCUCAAGGUUGUUGUCAACAGGUGUGGCUAACAGCCGGUGAGUACUCCAGGAAUAGAGAAGUAGAUCUGUUCCUACUUCAA